UCAAACUUGGUCAUUUAGAGGAAGUAAAAGUCGUAACAAGGUUUCCGUAGGUGAACCUGCGGAAGGAUCAUUAAAGAAAUGGCGGCCCUCGUGGCCCCGUUUUCACCCUGUGCGUACCGUAUUCUAGUUGCUUCGGCGGGCUAGCCCGUCAGAAGACCUGAAACUCUUGAAUUUUUGCCGUCUGAGUACUAUGUAAAUAGUUAAAACUUUCAACAACGGAUCUCUUGGUUCUGGCAUCGAUGAAGAACGCAGC
Molecule: unclassified non-coding RNA, 253 nt
Filed under: uncultured fungus
Lineage: Eukaryota; Fungi
Description: partial contains small subunit ribosomal RNA, internal transcribed spacer 1, and 5.8S ribosomal RNA
Rfam family: Eukaryotic small subunit ribosomal RNA (bases 1-73)
Source: RNAcentral